AGUGGCGGACGGGUGAGUAACGCGUGGGCAACCUGCCCUGUACAGGGGGACAACACUUAGAAAUAGGUGCUAAUACCGCAUAACGGGGGGAGCCGCAUGGCACCCCCCUGAAAACUCCGGUGGUACAGGAUGGGCACGCGUCUGAUUAGCUGGUUGGCAGGGUAACGGCCUACCAAGGCGACGAUCAGUAGCCGGCCUGAGAGGGCGGACGGCCACACUGGGACUGAGACACGGCCCAGACUCCUACGGAAGGCAGCAG
Molecule: ribosomal RNA, 259 nt
Filed under: uncultured bacterium
Lineage: Bacteria
Description: partial 16S ribosomal RNA
Rfam family: Bacterial small subunit ribosomal RNA
Source: RNAcentral